Rattus norvegicus (Norway rat) is the source of this 5518-nucleotide non-coding RNA. The record is from RefSeq and is a predicted model, not a curated record. Lineage: Eukaryota; Metazoa; Chordata; Mammalia; Rodentia; Muridae.
UGGCAAAGUGACACGUGCAUUUCAUUUACUCUCCCUGUGGCUUUUAAACAUAAUUUUUGUACACAGGUGGAACCACAAGUGUUUGUUCCUUAUGGAAAAGGUAGCAUGGAGACUUCUUUAACACUGAGAACCUUAGAACUGAAUAGACACAAAAUCACAAGGAACUUUAAAUUGUAAUGUGAUUUCCUGACAUAGAAUCAGAAACCUUCACACACUUCUGUGAAGCCAGACAUCUUUGAAGGAUACAGAGGACACACAGCUAUCAAUAUAUAGAAGGAGGAGAAGCUCCCUCAAGUAAAGAACAGCAAUAGAAGACAAGAACAACUGUCACCAGCCAGAAGAGGUGUCCAGUCUAUCUGCCUGGGUAGCAUCCUGAAGUCCAAUAGCGAGAGUCAUGGGGGACACUUACUUGUCUUGGUUAAUAUGACUCUUUUUGACCUGUGUCAGCUCUUUGAAAGUCUGUCCAAAGUGAGCAGUGGGGUGAACAAUGGCGGCAGCAUCUUUAGGUAUCUGGAUCCAACCAUCAGGAGCUCUAAGCACUGACCCGCAAUGGCUGCCUGCCUCAGUUUGCACACCAGAUGGAUGCCAGUGCUGGUCUCUGUCAGGAAAGUACACAGAUUUCCUAAUGGUGCUUUCAACAUUAGUUCCUAUUAGAGUAUGUAACUGAAGAGGUAUCAGAGAUAACUCUUAUGUUUCUUUAACGUGAUAGAUGUUCCUCAUAUUUUUCUAAAUUUAGAAAUAUCUUGAACAUUGUGCCAUGUAAAGUAUUGAUUAUCGUUCAUGUGCAUGUUUUAACUUCUGCGAUUUAUUUAUUGACUUUUAAAGCUUCUAAUUUCAACACUAACUUCCAAACGGCAACAGAAGAAAAGUAAAACAACAUUAGUGGCAGAAGAAUAAUUUGGAUCAUGUGCGUUGGAAUAGAGGUACUGAACAGAACCACUCGAGUGGGAAGAGGUGUGUCUCCAGUGAGAUUCCAGAUGCUGUCAAGUUGAUGAUCAACAAACAUUACCCACCAUGCAAGCUAUGAAGACAACUUAUUCAUUCAGACUCAAGCCUACUUGCCAUGUAUUCCUAGAAGUUCUGGAAAGUAGAAAUUCCAUAAAUAUCAAAACCUGAACAACCUCCUCACUUACCAGUCAGGCAUGCUAGACCAACACUUCUGAAACUGUGACCUGGACAAGCACCAGUAGCUUCGUUACCUGGGAAUUAUCAGAAAUGCAAAUUUUAACUCUACUCAACCUAUUCUCUGGAUGAAGCCAAUCACUUCCUCUCAUUGGACUGCCUGGAAUGGAUGGCUUUCUCUUCCCAGAAUGGCCUCCAUGUGCAGCAAAGCUAAGUUCACAGCUAAUUGCAGUUGGGUGUUUGGAGCUUCCUUUUCCUGCCCUUCACUAUUACCUGGCUUAGUAAAAAGAAUCAGCAGGUCCCAUCUGUUAAUGACAAGGGAACCAUUCCAGGCUUUGAGAAAACCAAGAUUUAGAAAUCAGUAUAGUCUUGAAAAUCAUCACAAUGAAGGUAGGUAGAUCUUACCAUGCCCUGGCAAAGAAUCUACAAAAUCAGAAAUCUUGAUUUUUGUUGUUAUUUCAAUUAACAGAAUGCUAGAACUAAGAAGAACUAAACAGGUGACCCAGGCGACAUAUAGAACAACAUAUUUAAUUGGGGACUUGCAAUUUCAGAGUUUUAGAGCAAGAACAUGUGGCAUGAACAGCUGAGAGCUCCGAAGUUGAUGAAGUAGAAGAAAACAAAUGCUAACUGGGAAUGGUGGGGGCCUUUGCAACCUCAAAAUCCACUCCCAAUAACACACCUCCAUCUCGGGUCCAGACCUUGAAACACUGGUGGACUUGGAGUUCCCUGGAGCUGGAAAGAAUGUAAUGGUCAAGAACUCUGAGAGUUGUACAACCUAAGAUGUUCCUCAUGAAAUCUCUUUGACGGCCAAUGCUUUAAAAGAAUCUGACACCUCCAGCCCAAAAAUGGAUCAAAAUUGAAAGUUGCCUGGUUUGUCACCUCUAUAGUUAAGUCUGGUUAAAGCACCUUCUGUUUAGGAUGCCAAUGAGAUGCAGGUGGUGAGGAUCUAUGACUGGGGUCCAUAUGGUCUCUUCAGGUGCAUAAUGUAUGGUUGGGACCCUGAUAAUUUUCUCUGUGUGUUUAUCUCUCUGUAUAUUUCUGUCACUUCUAUUGAUUGGAGUCAAAGAUCUAAAAAAUAAGGGAAGUGAGCCCUCCUGGGACAACAGCUACUGCUGCCCCUGGGAUGAUACACAACUUCCCAUAGGCUCAUAGGUCAUGCUGGCCCAUCCAUGCUGCACCCCUCUUCUGGCAGCAACUGUGGAUGCAAGUCGGUGCUACUGUUGCUAUGGUGAUGCUAGCAGUAGGGGCUCCUGAGUAGUAUUGUGGGUGGUGGACACAGGCCCAGAAGGAAUUUUGUGGAGUAGGAUGGCUAUGAUGGAUGUCUCAGGCACUGUGACCCUGGAGGAGGCUAGUGGCCUAUCUAUCCAAAAGACUUGAUCUUGUUUGGCCUGCUUUUUUGUGAUCAGUUGCUGCUACAACUGUACUAAUAAAUACGUUGACUUUGUGCCAGGAACUGUCAUUAACUUACAUCUCCAUCAUUGUAAUGGACCUCCUGAGGGGAACCGCAGUAAGUGGAUGCAUAACAUUGAAAUAACCCAUUAUGAGGCACGUCUUCUGGGCCAGACCCAUAUCUGACUUAAUAAAACAAUAGCCAUCAGCCCACCCAGCCCACGACCAGAUGAUAUACCAAAGGAGCCACUCCAAGACAGCAGCCAAGUUCUGGUCAUCAGACUCCCCCAAACAGAGGAGGGACAUAGCCGUGGAUGUGGAGAGGCCCCAGAACAACCCUCAUAAGGGGAAAUGUACUCCAGGAACUGCCCAGUCUUUGGCUCCUCCAGUUCUGAUCAACAGGAGCUCAAAGCUCAGAUCCUGCAGGCAGGGUCUGACAAUACAGAAACACCCAUAGCUGUGGUAGAAGGUGGAUGUGAUCAGCUUCAUCUCCCGUCUUAAGCAAGAACCCAGGCCUGAUUGCUGCUACCUCUGCAGUUGUGGCUGCGGCAUCCUGCUCUGCUCUGGGGCUGGUGGAAGCCUCUGGCUUCCACUCUGGGCUCCACUGCAGCUGCACUCUGCACUUCCUACAGACAUGAAGAGGUUUUAUAUGGAGCAGCUUUGUUCAACACGGAAUCAGGUAUACUAGGUUGCAGUGGUCACCACCCAGGAUGAUAUAGGCCCAGUCCCUCAGCCAAUGGACUUCAACACAAAUGGCUGACCUUCUGGCUUUAUCCCAUUCAUUUUGCUGGGAGAAGGGCAAAGACAUGCAUACUACGAACAGUUGGCAUGCAUUUGCCAAUGCCAGUGUCCAUAGGCCCUCUUUAGAGAGAAGGGACUCCUCACCUUGACAGAAAGAACACAGGAAGAAACCAGGUGACAAAAAGAAACAGGAGGCAAAUGGAUGGCAGUUCUUGUUGAACAAGAGACCCAUACUCUCUGCUGUUAUCAGAAGACAAAAAAUUCUGUAUAUGGGUUGCCUCUACCUCUGAGAUUUGACAAUGCCCUCAUCUUCAUGAUCAAACUUUCCCCUAAAUCUGGCAAAGGCCCUAUAUGUUCAUCUAAAAUUACAUUGUGCAUAAAAUCAGGAAGGGUAAAAUAAAUCUGUCGAUGAAAAUUGGGCUAACCUCCUACCUUUUGCUCUAAGGGUCAGAUGCCCCCCAUAUUGAGAUGUUCACUAGGUAAAAGUUACUAACCAUUCCCCUGUCACAUUCUUAAAGAUCCUGCAACAGACCCAGAGGACUAUUCACAAGGCUGAGCCCUUGCUCUUGUCUGAGCUUGACCAAAAGUUCCAGACUGGAAACCUUAUGUGGACAGAGAGGAUCCUGACACAGAGCUUGGGAACAAUGGUGAAAACCCAUACAUUGUGGUCCUCAGCACCCAGUGUCACCACACCCUGCUAAACGGGGAUACAGAAUAUAGGUCAUCACCAGAGUCUCUAACCCACUAAAGAUAAAACAGACACAGUUCUUAUAAUGAUAGCUUUCUCAUUUUCUUUAGAUUUAUAUGUUUCAUUAAUCGUUUAAUUAAGCCAUACAUGUUUGAACACAUAAAACAUUUUAAAAUAAUAUUUAUAUGAUUAUAACAACUUUCCAAGCUUAAAACUUUAAAAUCGUAUGUUCUUAAGUUACCAAAUAUUUUCUAUUACUUCAUCUCUCUUGUCUUGAUCACGGAGCAAACUUGUUUUUGGUACAAAUUACCACAUGAAUGCUAGAGCCCAGUUUCAUAUGCUAUUCACAGAAUGAUGUCAUGGUAAUGAUGCCAGCCACAGUGGGCUUCCAACCUCAAUAAAUUGUACUUUUCUUAUGUUGUCUUUUUUUGUAGGAAAGACAUUAAACCCUGAUAAUCCAAAAGAUCAGAAGCAGGGAGCUCAUAGCCAAUCUUAGUGCUACCUCCAAUUCUAUCAGCUAGAAAUGGGACCAAUCUGAGGUCACUCCGGGGCAUCUCCAGGGAAAGGGUACAUGUUUAAUGUUACCAAGCUACCAGCUAGUAGUUCCUGGGUGCAGAUUCCUUUAAUCAUGCACAGUAGAUUAAUUCCAAGAAUGACAGUCAAAUGUUUUUCAGGCCCCAGAGACUGCAUACCCUGCUCUCACUCACAACUUAACCAAGUGUUGAGGAGCCAAAUCUGGACCAUUAGUAGCUGGUUCCCUCAAGAAUUGCAGGACUGAGGGGGGUCCACAGCACUCACGGACUCACCCUGCAGACUCACCCAGCAGUCAGUGUGGCUCUGCUUCCUGCAUCUUGAAAUGGAGGAUUUGGAUCUGAGAAGGCAGAUCCUCUAAUGCAGUGUACACAGGCAUGUGCCUUCAUGGCCACAGGGUAUGUUUUAUUGGCAUAAAAAUGUUUGCCAACUUACACCACAUCCUGGGAUUUUGGGUGCCCCCUAUCAUUCUGCGUCCUCAGUAACACUUCUAUUGUUGGACGUUUCUGUUUAUCUAUUCUGGACUUGUUAUCUCACUGAAAAAAAUUCUUUUUAGACAAACUAUAAGGUGGCUUUGAACUGACUAUGUAGUCCUGGCUGACCCAACCUCACGGAGAUCCUCCUGCUUCAUCUUCCCAGUGCCGGGAUUACACACAUGUGCCACCAUGCCUAGAAUGUUUCUUCUUGAAAUUUGGCUAUGUUUUACAUGUUAAUGUUGGUGUCGUACAUACAGCAUACUUAAAGACUGCAAUUUGGAGAUUUUCCUACCACAUGAGUUCCUUCCCCAUUACUGAAACACAUGCCUGAGAAUCAGCUUAAUGAAGGGGUGUAUGUUGGCCAACAAUUGGAGGCCACAGUCCACCAUGGCAGGUUGAGCAGCUAUCUAUAUGGUAUCUACCCUGAGAACGCAGAGAGCAAUGAAUACUUAUGCUCCACCCCCUUUCUCUCUCUUUUUUUUUUUACUAGCAUUUUUUUUAUUUAUUUUCUUUUUAUUUAUUUAAUACUUAAUAAUAAUUCUUUGGUUUCCGGGCAAACAUCCCCCUCCCC